GGGCGGAGGGCGCCCCCGGGGGCGGGGCACGCAAGUGACGGCGGUGCGGGUGGUGGACCGCUGGGCGGCCAGGGUUCCUGGCUGGCCGGUUUGGACGUCUGGGCCGUGAAGGUGGGACCGCCUGUUCUGGGCCGCAAGUUUCCCUCUCCAGCCGCCCGCCGUUCGUAGCAUGUCCCCCAGAACCCGGGGAGCGCAGGCAGGACAGGCUUAGAGAACACGCGGUCCCCAGCGCUUGGGCCACGGACGUCCCACCCCGCUCCUCUGUCGCUGGAGAACCGCCGGGCCGAGCCUCUGGGAGAAGCAGGCCAGAGCCUUCCAGGGCCUCCGGCCCGUGGACCCGAGGAGGAUGAGCUGGCUCUUUCCCCUGACCAAGAGCGCCUCCUCCUCCGCGGCUGGGUCCCCCGGUGGCCUCACCAGCCUCCAGCAGCAGAAGCAGCGCCUGAUCGAGUCCCUCCGGAACUCACACUCCAGUAUAGCCGAAAUACAGAAAGAUGUGGAAUACAGAUUGCCGUUCACCAUAAACAACCUGACAAUUAACAUUAAUAUAUUGCUUCCUCCACAGUUUCCUCAGGAAAAACCAGUGAUCAGUGUUUAUCCACCAAUACGACAUCACUUAAUGGAUAAACAAGGAGUGUAUGUUACCUCUCCAUUAGUAAACAAUUUUACAAUGCACUCAGAUCUUGGAAAAAUUAUUCAGAGUCUAUUGGAUGAGUUUUGGAAGAAUCCUCCAGUUUUAGCUCCUACUUCAACAGCAUUUCCUUAUCUAUACAGUAACCCAAGUGGGAUGUCUCCUUAUGCUUCUCAGGGUUUUCCAUUUCUUCCUCCAUAUCCUCCACAAGAAGCAAACAGGAGUAUCACUUCUUUAUCUGUUGCUGACACUGUUUCUUCUUCAACAACAAGUCAUACCACAGCCAAGCCUGCCGCUCCUUCAUUUGGUGUCCUUUCAAAUCUGCCAUUACCCAUUCCCACAAUGGAUGCUUCAAUACCGACAAGCCAAAAUGGUUUUGGUUACAAGAUGCCAGAUGUCCCUGAUGCAUUUCCAGAACUCUCAGAACUAAGUGUGUCACAACUCACAGAUAUGAAUGAACAAGAGGAGGUGUUACUAGAACAGUUUCUGACUUUGCCUCAACUAAAACAAAUUAUUACCGACAAAGAUGACUUAGUAAAAAGUAUUGAGGAACUAGCAAGAAAAAAUCUCCUUUUGGAGCCCAGCUUGGAAGCCAAAAGGCAAACUGUUUUAGAUAAGUAUGAAUUACUUACACAGAUGAAGUCCACUUUCGAAAAGAAGAUGCAAAGGCAGCAUGAACUUAGUGAGAGCUGUAGUGCAAGUGCCCUUCAGGCAAGAUUGAAAGUAGCUGCACAUGAAGCUGAGGAAGAAUCUGAUAAUAUUGCAGAAGACUUCUUGGAGGGAAAGAUGGAAAUAGAUGAUUUUCUCAGUAGCUUCAUGGAAAAGAGAACAAUUUGCCACUGUAGAAGAGCCAAGGAAGAGAAACUUCAGCAGGCAAUAGCAAUGCACAGCCAAUUUCAUGCUCCACUAUAGGGCAUGCUGUUAAAUCUUCAAAAUGACCAGAUGAGGAAGGAAUAAUUAAUUAUUACUCCUGAUUUGUGGAUAACUGAGACAUACGCUGUCAAAUGGAAGAAAUUAAAGCCACAUCCUCAAUAUUAGGCAACAGAGUUUCUAAGAGUGGACAGCUCCAAGAAGGUUGUGAAGGAAACUUCAGGCAGUGAGAAACACGGCUUCAUCAGAAUCCCGGUCCUUGCCACUAUCUUCACUCGGUGCAUGCUCACCACCACUUGGAGACCGACAGCUCAAAUCCUCCACCCCGGACUCUUGGUCACUGUUGGCUGACAGAUCUGGAUCUGAACUUUUCAGAUUGUCUUGGGUUAGAAUCAGAGCAGAAUCUUCAUCGCCUUGUGAAGGGCUCCGGGAUGGAAAUGAUUUCAUAUUCCCACUGUAAUCCUGGGGAGUGUUGGCUAUGCUGUUAUCUGAGGUAGAAAACCCUGAGUGCUUGCUGGGCUCACUUUGCUUACUCUUCACCUUAGUGCAAUUUAACUGGACGUUUUGAAUUUUUUCCAGCCUCUAAGAAAGAAAUAACAAUUUCAGGGGAAAAAUCAUAAAUAACUUAUCUUUUUCUAUAUAUGCAUGCCUUUAGCAUUUGUUACCUCCCAGGUGGGUAUAAUGUUAAGAACAUGGGACUCACAGGGAUGUGAGUUCAAACCUGGACUUCACGACCUUGGACAAAAUCUGUGAGGCCUGCUUUAUCUCUAAUGUAAGGAUAAUACCUGCCUUGACAUAGGUUUUCUAUAAUCAUAAACAAUAUAGCACAGUUGAAGCACCCAGUGAACCCUAGUCUCCCUCUUUUCUAUACCUACAUGGUUUCAAAUGAUGAGUCUCAUCCCAUGAACUCAAAAAACAUUUUUUAGAAAUCAGGAAUGAAGUGUUUAUCAUCUAACUUUUAUAGUGAGAUACAAUUCACUUACCAUGAAACUCACCCUUUUAAAGUAUACAAUUCAGUGGUUUUUAGUUAUAUUCACAAGGUUGUGCAACGAUCACUACUAAUUAUAAAAUACUGUCAUCACCUCCCCUGCCAAAAGAAAACCCCAUACUCAUUAGCAGUCAUUUCCCAUUCCUAUCUCCCCACAGCCCCUGGCUACUACUGAUCAACUUCUAUCUCUAUGGAUUUGCCUAGUCUAGAUGUUUUAUAUAAAUUGAAUGGAAUCAUACAACAUGUGGAUUUUUGUAUCUGGCUUCCUUCACUUAGCUUAUGUUCUCAAAAUUCAUACAUGGUACAGCAUGUAUCAAGUACUUCAUUCCUUUUUCUGGCUGAACAGUAUUCCAUUACAUGGACAUACCAGAUUUUGUUUCCCCAUUCAUCAUGUCAUGGACACCUGGGUUGUUCAGAAUACAUUUCACCAGAUUUCAUGUUUUGAUGUUAACAGAGGAGAUGUUACAAGAUCAAGUAUUAUGUAUUCAUUCAAAACCAUUCAUUUAGGUUAUGUGCAAAAGCACUGUGCUGGGCAGUGUGAGGAACAGAGAUAAAUACAGACCCAGCCUUAAGGAACAUGGAGUAGUGGAGCAGAGAGAGGCAGAGUUCAUGCAACGUAAGAAUUUCAAAAAGGCAAAAGUUCUUGAAGAGGGAUGAAGUGGUAAGGUUAGAAGGAAGAGAACAGAGUUAAGUUUCAGGGAGGAAGGAACAUUUUAACAGGACUGUGAAAGAUUUAAACUUGGACAUUCUGGUGAUAGCUAGUAAGCAUUCCUGACAGGAGUAGGGACAGUGAGAGGACAAACACAAAGGUAGGAAGGUCUAAAUUGUAUACAAGCAGCAGAAACCAUUAAAUAUUAGCAUGGAAAAUAAAGCUGAAAAGAGAAAAUCUCAAAUGCCAGCCUAAGGAAUUUUGACUUUGUAAUAAGAGCCAGUUUUAAAGAGCCAGACUGCUAGAAUAGACUAAUAGAAUACUAAGAUGUUCAUAAACUAUAUUAGUACCACUGGAAACAAAGUUAUCCAAUUAGGGAAAGCAUUUUAUUAUAACCUCCCUGUCCAAGUACAGGGAAGUUAAUAGAAGCCAAAAGAUAAGACUUUACAGUCAGUCUCCCCUUUUACCAAUUAUAGAUUAAUAUAAUAGUUACAUAAUUUUUAAAAAUGGAGAAAGAUUUUUACAAGUACGUAUAUUUGAUUUUAUUCUUUUACUUUUUCACACUUUCCAGAAAAAAAUUAAUUUUACUACUCUCAAAUAACAGUAACCAAAAAAGUUGACCUAAAAUAAGGAACAACCAAAAAUUUGUGGAACUGAGCCACAAGCCAGAUGUGUGAAAUGCAUUAAAUGCCUAGGUUUGGGCUUCGGUUAUCUGAGUCCUGACCUGGAAGGGGUUGUGUUUCAGGUGUUCUACUGACUAAAAAUGUGAAAUAUUUGUAUUGCACUGAAUCUUAAGAGGCUUUCAUUGAAGCCUUGCUCUUCAAGAAAUAAGCACAGAAAAUAGAUUAACAAAGCAAGUAUGUCUUACUUCUUCCAGGGCCUCUAGUUCUUCCUCUAGCUGCUGAGUUUCUUCCUUCACUGCCAUUAGGUAAUCUGUAACUGAUUGUCGGGGCUGCAUCCCCUUUUCAAAGCGGUUAUACAUUCCACUCCAAAACCUGGAAAGGACGGCAAAGCAUCAUGAUACCACCUUAUCACAGUCUGAAAAUUCACAUCCUCAAGUCUUCUAAGGUAUCUAUGAUACCACAGUCUUAAUAAUAACCAAAUGCAAAUUUCAGCCUCAAAAAAGCCACUACUUAAGGUAAUAAUUUCAUGUUGAUGUUUUUUUUCUUGGGUCAGUAAAUGCCUUUUGGGGAGAAUAAGUUUAUGAAAAGUCUACUUGUAUAUAUGAAUUAGAAAACACAGAAUACAUUUUUCUAAAAUUAAAAUAGCACAUGUAACCAUUUCCUUUUAAGAAAAUGGCUCUUAGUUUUGAAAUUUGAAAUUGUAUAUUUAGAAUCUUUCAGCUACAAAGGGAAUCUUAAACUUGCAGCUUUUAUCUUUUGUAUCACGACCACUAAAAGUUGACAUUUGCAUUGGCAAUAACCGCCCCCCACCCCGCUUUUUUUUUUAAUGGCAGAGUUUCGCUCUUGUCACCCAAACCGAAGUGCAGUGGUGUGAUAUCGGCUCCUUGCAACCUCCACCUCCCGGGUUCAAGCGAUUCUCCUGCCUCAGCCUCUCAAGCACCUGGGAUUACAGGCAUGCACCACCAUGUCUAAUUUUAUUUUUUUUUUAGUAGAGACAGGGUUUCACCAUGUUGGUCAGGUUGGUCAUGAACUCCUGACAUCAGGUGAUCCACCCACCUCAGCCUCCCAAAGUGCUAGGAUUACAGGCGGGAGCCACCACGCCUGACCGAUAAAUCCCUUUUUAUCCUACACAAAAAAGCAACUGGAGUGCAAAUGAGAAAAAUGGUGUUAUCAUAGAGUUAUCCUUAGAACCACUAUUUUAUUUAUGUAGAUAAGUAAGUACUUUGAGGGCAAGGACUUGGUGUCAUUGUUUUAUCUGCAGUGCCCAGAACAGCGUUUGAUCCUCAAUAAAAUAUGUGUUGACUAGCUGUUAAUAAUAAAUUAGUUGCAAUCCAACUGGUCAUAUCUCAACAGCUCUUAAAACUUGUCUUACAUGCACUAUGGAGGCUUUUGUUUAGUAUGAUAGAAUAUUCUGCUAUAAAUUCUGAGAAGAUAAUUAGAUUGAAAUAAUUAAGAAAAAAAACCUUGAGAAACGAAAUCUAUACAGGGAGAAAAGCCAUCAAGUCUGUGUCGGGAGUGAGUAGGAAGAAAGAGAUGGGGUUUCUGUUUAUUCUGCAUGAGUCUUUUGAUGUUGCUGACCUUUGAGUUUUUUCAUAUUAUACAAGCCUAACAAGGAAGCCAAAGGAAAAAACAUACGUAUCUAGCACAUACCCAGUAGAACCUGUAGGAUGCCACCCUGCUCUCCCCAUCCUCCCCAUACAUACAAUCUUUUUUUUUUUUUUUGAGACGGAGUUUUGCUCUUGUUGCCCAGGCUGGAGUGCAAUGGCGCGAUCUCGGCUCACCGCAACCUCCGCCUCCCUGGUUCAAGUGAUUUUCCUGCCUCAGCCUCCCGAGUAGCUAGGAUUACAGGCGCCCACCACCAUGCCCAGCUAAUUUGUGUAUUUUUAGUAGAGACGGGGUCUCGCCAUGUUGGCCAGGCUUGUCUUGAACUCCUGACCUCGGGUGAUCCACCCGCCUCGGCCAGUACAUACAAUCUUAACAUAAUUUCCACAAGGGAAGUACUUCCAGUAGGACUUAAUUCAGUGGAGACAAAAAGGCAACCUAUUAUGUUGGUGCAAAAGUAAUUGCGGUUUUUGCCUUUUUGUUUAACAGCAAAAACCACAAUUAUUUUUGCUCCAACCUUAAUAAGUCAUGAUCACUGUUGAAACUUGUGAUUCCACAUUUGACUUAAGGCAUUUGCAUUAUUCUCUUUCAUUUGCUUUUAAAAAAAUAAAUUGGAACUUAACCUUUUUAUGAUAUCAUUAUUAUAAAACAUCACCUCCUGAAGAAAAUUCCACAUUUAGGAGGAAUAAAGAGGCAGAGGAGUCAGUGGCAAAAAUACCAGAUCAGAUAUUCAAGCAUCUCCCUCUGGUGUCUUUUGUGUCCAAUAAAAGCCUCAAAGAUCAGUGUCAUACACUUGGACCUCUGAAUGUUAAACGGUACCAGAAUCCAAGUUCAUACCAUAGCUACAAAGUUCCUAAGGAUUUACAUACUUGUACAUGAAGUUACAUGGUGUUGUAGGGAGAUGAAGGGUUCCCUGAGUCUGGCUGUGAUCAGCUCUAAACAGAGGAUUCAGGUAGUCGGCCCGAUUCUUCCACAGGUGAGCCCAUAAUGAGUAUGUUCUUUCUUGAAUCCUGUUAUAAAGAAAAUAAGUCUAUAAAUGACCUAUUUUGGUGCUUACAUAUAGUAGAUAUGUUAUAUUAAUGCUGGAAAGGAACUAAUAAUUGUUACCUGAAAACCACUUGUCUGUUCGAUAGCAGGUAAAUGUAUCAUCUUGGUGACUUCAUGGUAUAGAGGGAGAACACUGUAAUAAUCUCAACUUCACCACCAUCUGUACUGGCCUUGACAAGGUGUUCGAUUCGUGUGUGUGUGUGUGUGUGUGUGUUUUAAGCUGUUCUUUUGGGGGAGUUUUUUCCCCCAAAUAGUCACUGGACAUUUAUAAUUUGUCAGACACUAUUCUAAAUAUUUCACAUGUUUUCUCUCAUUUAAUCCUGAGUUGCUGUGAGAUAUGUCUAAUUUACAGAUGAAGAAACUGAGGAAUAGAAUAAGUGGUUUCCCAAAGUCCUAUAGCUAGUAAGUGGAAAAGCCAUAUUCAGACCCAAGCAGAUACUGUUAGAAUUGGCUAGUCAGGUACAAGAAAACAGGUGACCCUAAAGGAUACACUCUGCUCCUUCUAAAUCAUCUCCAUGGAAUCACACUUGAGCUUCCUUAGAGAAAACAAACUGGUAUCCACUACAAAAAUUAAUUUUCUUUAUGAGUCUAUUUCAUUUGAACUGAUCAUUCCCCAAAUUAAAUCUGAUAAUGUUAUAUACACUAUAGUUAAAACCAUUUCAUUUUAUGAAAAUUUAAAAAAUGUUCUCUCAUGUAUACUGCCUAAAUCACUUUGUUGUUGUAAGUUUUUUACUAUCACUUAUUGUAAAGUCCACAUUUUAUCUACUUUUACCCUUGGAUAAAUCAAUACAGUUUUAAUCUGAAUAAAUUCUGGCUUUUAUAUUUGCUUUCCCAAUUAAAUUUGCAAUUUUUAUUAUGGUAGCAUAGCCACCAAAGAUAUCUAACCUUUUCCUUUUAAAUGCAAAAACCACUUUUUUGACUCCAGAAAAUUCCCUUUCGAUAUUCGUGCAUCAAGUCUGUCAAGCUGUCUAUCAGGCAGAAACUGAAGGAAAAAAUGAAACUACUGAUCUAUCAGUUGAUGACAUUUAAACCAUUUAUGAAAUGACACAAGGAAAAAGAAAAUAAAACUAAUCUGUCAGUAUAGGUAUGUGACUAAAUGAAAAAAGUCUUCAAAAUUAUGAAAGGCCACCUAAAAUUCUCAGUCAUCAAAA
RNA transcript from Gorilla gorilla gorilla (western lowland gorilla), 7558 nucleotides. It is a transcript of the gene named VPS37A subunit of ESCRT-I, with no coding region annotated. NCBI's taxonomy places the organism in Eukaryota, Metazoa, Chordata, Mammalia, Primates, Hominidae. The record is from RefSeq and is a predicted model, not a curated record. The transcript is spliced from 14 exons.